GUACACUCCUGCGGGAGGCAGCAGUGGGGAAUAUUGCACAAUGGGCGCAAGCCUGAUGCAGCCAUGCCGCGUGUAUGAAGAAGGCCUUCGGGUUGUAAAGUACUUUCAGCGGGGAGGAAGGCAAUACGGUUAAUAACCGUGUUGAUUGACGUUACCCGCAGAAGAAGCACCGGCUAACUCCGUGCCAGCAGCCGCGGUAAUACGGAGGGUGCAAGCGUUAAUCGGAAUUACUGGGCGUAAAGCGCACGCAGGCGGUCUGUCAAGUCGGAUGUGAAAUCCCCGGGCUCAACCUGGGAACUGCAUUCGAAACUGGCAGGCUUGAGUCUUGUAGAGGGGGGUAGAAUUCCAGGUGUAGCGGUGAAAUGCGUAGAGAUCUGGAGGAAUACCGGUGGCGAAGGCGGCCCCCUGGACAAAGACUGACGCUCAGGUGCGAAAGCGUGGGGAGCAAACAGGAUUAGAUACCCGGGUAGUCCCAUGA
RNAcentral lists this ribosomal RNA (478 nucleotides) under uncultured organism. RNAcentral describes it as "partial 16S ribosomal RNA". It matches the Rfam family "Bacterial small subunit ribosomal RNA", at positions 331 to 800 of the family's 1533-position model. The record is from RNAcentral.